UCCUAUGAUGACGUAAUUUGCGAUUGAGUCUGGCGUCGGAGUCCCUCGCCGGGGACUCAUAACGGCGCCGGCCCAGUGAUAUUCAAUUUCUUACAUAUUCUGAGC
RNAcentral lists this small nucleolar RNA (105 nucleotides) under Ascochyta rabiei. RNAcentral describes it as "Didymella rabiei A. fumigatus snoRNA Afu_514". It matches the Rfam family "A. fumigatus snoRNA Afu_514". The record is from Rfam by way of RNAcentral. Lineage: Eukaryota; Fungi; Ascomycota; Dothideomycetes; Pleosporales; Didymellaceae.